This 301-nucleotide ribosomal RNA is filed under the name uncultured bacterium. RNAcentral's name for it is "partial 16S ribosomal RNA". It matches the Rfam family "Bacterial small subunit ribosomal RNA", at positions 509 to 808 of the family's 1533-position model. The record is from RNAcentral.
CAGCCGCCGCGGUAAUACGUAGGUCCCGAGCGUUGUCCGGAUUUAUUGGGCGUAAAGCGAGCGCAGGCGGUUAGAUAAGUCUGAAGUUAAAGGCUGUGGCUUAACCAUAGUACGCUUUGGAAACUGUUUAACUUGAGUGCAAGAGGGGAGAGUGGAAUUCCAUGUGUAGCGGUGAAAUGCGUAGAUAUAUGGAGGAACACCGGUGGCGAAAGCGGCUCUCUGGACUGUAACUGACGCUGAGGCUCGAAAGCCAGGGGAGCGAACGGGAUUAGAUACCCCGGUAGUCCCUGUCUCUUAUACC